AAUUAGUAUAUUGCUUAAAUUAUUAUUUUUAAUAUUUUAAUUGAAAUAACUUUUUUUUUAGUAAGUUUUAUUGAAAUUACUGUUUUUAGCAAUAGUCAAAAAUUACUGUGAAGGAAUUAUUUAAAUUCUAUUUAAGUAGAUUUUUUUUAUUUUACCUUUUGUAUCAGGGUUUAUUAAUUUUAUGUCAAUUAUUUUGAUUUUCCCGAAAUUGAGAGAGAUAUACUUUAAUGUAAGUUUACGUGUUAAAGUAAUUUAUAAUUGAAGUAUAGAAGUUAAAUGCUAUUCAAUCUUAAAUAUCUGGUUUUCUAAUAAUUUAAUUUAAUUAAGGUUUUUAGUUUAGUCAAUUUAUAAUUAAAUUUUGUUUGAUACUAAUUUCUUAUUUUGUAGGGGAUAAGCUCUUCAAAAGUUUUAUAACCUGUUAAUUUUGAUUUUUUGUAGGCUUGAUAACAGCCAUCAUUUAUUUCGUUAUAGUUAACUUUCUUAUUUUAUUUAUUUAUUAUUGGUUUAAUUAUUUAUUAGAACUUUUUAUUUAACUUUUUAUUAUAAGUGAUAAUGAUAGAAUUAGUAGUUUUGUAUAUUUAAGUAUAGUAAUUCGGCAAAUUUGAUUCUCGCCUGUUUAACAAAAACAUGUCCUUUAGAGAAUUAGUUAAAGGUCUAACCUGCCCAGUGAUUUAUUAAACGGCCGCAGUACCCUGACUGUGCAAAGGUAGCAUAAUCAUUUGUCUUUUUAUUGAAGGCUGGAAUGAACGGUUGGACGAGGGAUUAGCUUUCUUUACUUAAAUUUAAUGAAUUUAAUUUUUUAGUUAAAAAGCUUAAAUUUUUUUGUAAGACGAGAAGACCCUAUAGAAUUUUACUUUUAGAUAUUUGUUUUUUAUUUUGGUGUUAAUUUAAUUUAUAAUUAUUUAAAAGUUUUGUUGGGGCGACAGUGAAAAUUAAUUAACUUUCAUUUUUUUUUAUUAUUCAUUAAUUAAUGUAUUUUUGAUCCCAAUUUUUGGAUUAAAAGUUUAAAUUACCUUAGGGAUAACAGCGUAAUUUUUUCGGAGAGUUCAUAUCGAUGAAUAAAGUUUGCGACCUCGAUGUUGGAUUAAAGUAAGUUCUUGGUGCAGAAGCUAAUGGGACUGAGUCUGUUCGACUCUUAAAUCUUUACAUGAUCUGAGUUCAGACCGGCGUGAGCCAGGUUGGUUUCUAUCUACAAAUUUUUAGAUUUUAUUCUAGUACGAAAGGACCGAAUAUAAGUAAUAUUUAUAUUUAAUUUGAUUAUUAUUAAA
This 1268-nucleotide ribosomal RNA is filed under the name Lucullia flavovittata. RNAcentral describes it as "partial large subunit ribosomal RNA". The stretch from base 823 to 1195 matches the Rfam family "Bacterial large subunit ribosomal RNA", at positions 2073 to 2647 of the family's 2925-position model. The record is from RNAcentral. Lineage: Eukaryota; Metazoa; Arthropoda; Insecta; Hemiptera; Coreidae.